Molecule: transfer RNA, 1044 nt
Filed under: Pseudophaeobacter arcticus DSM 23566
Lineage: Bacteria; Pseudomonadati; Pseudomonadota; Alphaproteobacteria; Rhodobacterales; Roseobacteraceae
Description: partial 16S-23S ribosomal RNA intergenic spacer
Rfam family: tRNA (bases 316-389)
Source: RNAcentral
UUCUAAGGAUGUAUCUAGAUACUUGGUUGAGUUACCAACGCGCUCAAGUAGCGAAGCGGUAGCGCAUAAAAGUCGUGAUACACUUAGCAAUGAACAGUAAUCAAAACUGUUCAACAUCAGUUAGGUCCUUACGUCGCCGCAAGGCGGUAGGACACUAACAUGGACCGAGCCGUCCUCAUAUCUCUUCAGACAAGUCGCGGCAGCAGCCGUUAUCUGGCGCUGCCUGGUGACAUAACCACUGAGUGCUGCUCUCGGGCAUUGCUUUGCAAUACCCUGUCGCACACGGGUUUUGAUUUGCUUUGCAAAUCGAAAACCGGGUCGGUAGCUCAGGUGGUUAGAGCGCACGCCUGAUAAGCGUGAGGUCGGAGGUUCAAGUCCUCCUCGACCCACCACUCAUCCUUCGGGAUUAAGAUGGGGCCUUAGCUCAGCUGGGAGAGCGCCUGAUUUGCAUUCAGGAGGUCAGGAGUUCGAUCCUCCUAGGCUCCACCAUUACAGACAAUUAGAUCGUUAAGCACUGUGCGCAGUUCUUAACCGUCCAAUUGGACGAAUUGAUAUCGUAAAGAGAGAAACAAUCAACAACACUGUUGAUCGCCCCGAGUGUGGGGAUGAUCUCAGAUUGGUGCUGGGUGAGAUCUUCGGGUUUUACACAGCGAGCUUAUGAACACGUCUGUUUCCUCGGACGUCCAUGAGUAUGCCGGUUUGAAACGACAGAGUUGUCCAAGUCAAGUACACUAACCCGGUUCCAAUUCCGCAUAGGUUUUGGAACCACAUAUGUUUGACGCCUGUUUUGAUACCGGGUCUGACCGACAUCAGGCCCUCAAGUAGCGAAGCGAUAGGGCAUCAAACAUGGGAAAGUAUGCUUUUUGGUUCAGAGAUUGUGGUCCGGCUACUUACCAGCGGCUGGAUCCUGAUUGCCAUUGAUGUUUUGGCGCUCGGUGUUUGAGACUUAAUCAAGUCCUCAAGUAGCGAAGCGGCAGGAGAUCAUAUCUGCGCUCAAGUAGCCGAAUAGGCGGUAGCGCAAAUAACGUGGCUCUCUAUUUCUGG